AAACACCCACUACACGCUGCAAAUAACUUGUGGCCAUCGAGCUGUGUCAGAGAACAUUAGGCAGCUCCUGCACCAGCACUUAGCACAGCUGCUUGGCUGCCUGGCACUGUUUUCUCUCUGCUGUCCCUGCUGAACAGAAAGAUACGCUUCUACAAAAUUACCUUCUACCCUGAGAUGCCAUCAAAACUUAGGACGCUGUGUAACAUACUUGUAGGAGAAAACAAAAGCUGGAAGCUACUAAGGAGUAUUUGAGCUCCUUGAAACUGAGUAUUUUCUCUGCACCAACCAAUGCAAAAAACAGCUUCAGGAUGAAAACCACGGUCAAGCAUUGCCUACGUGCCACGGGAGAAAAGCAACAUGGCCACCAGAUCAAGAUUGGAAAGAUUACACACAUGAAAGCAGUUAGAGUGGUUAAUCUGCUACUACACCUACAGUAACUGGGUGUAGCAGCGCCCUUUUUAACAAUGUCAAGGUUGUAUUCAUUUAGCCAUCCGAGACACGUGAAAAGACAAACAGUUUCUGGCACUGUAAUCUACUUCAGUCUAUUUAGAGCACGUGGCUAUCUCAGCAAUGAUUCAGAGCAGGAGAAGGUUGAGGUCACUCCUCGGCCAGACGUGACGACUUAGGACAAAAAUAUUUUAACUCCCUGUGGGUUGGGUUAGUUUUGUUUUUAAGCAUGCCGCUGGCAGGCAGAAAGCAGCCAUUUCUUUAGUUGUAGUAGAGAAGAAUGUAAUUUCUAACCUUAACAGACCUUCCUCUACCGCAGACAAUUACUCAGAAAUGCACAGCACAGCAGAUUCAACUGGACCUGUAAUAGUAAUAAAGGCAAUCCUCUGAAAAAAGCUCAGCUUCUGGUGGCUCAGGGUAUUUUUAAUUGCUAUUUCAAUUAAAGGA
Anas platyrhynchos (mallard) is the source of this 894-nucleotide long non-coding RNA. RefSeq lists it as uncharacterized. The record is from RefSeq and is a predicted model, not a curated record. NCBI's taxonomy places the organism in Eukaryota, Metazoa, Chordata, Aves, Anseriformes, Anatidae.